UACGUAGGGUGCAAGCGUUAAUCGGAAUUACUGGGCGUAAAGCGUGCGCAGGCGGUAAUGUAAGACAGGUGUGAAAUCCCAGGGCUCAACCUUGGAACUGCAUUUGUGACUGCAUUGCUGGAGUGCGGCAGAGGGGGAUGGAAUUCCGCGUGUAGCAGUGAAAUGCGUAGAUAUGCGGAGGAACACCGAUGGCGAAGGCAAUCCCCUGGGCCUGCACUGACGCUCAUGCACGAAAGCGUGGGGAGCAAACAGG
This 253-nucleotide ribosomal RNA is filed under the name uncultured bacterium. Its description in RNAcentral is "partial 16S ribosomal RNA". It matches the Rfam family "Bacterial small subunit ribosomal RNA", at positions 524 to 776 of the family's 1533-position model. The record is from RNAcentral.